UACGUAGGUGGCAAGCGUUGUCCGGAUUUAUUGGGCGUAAAGCGCGCGCAGGCGGUCCUUUAAGUCUGAUGUGAAAUCUUGCGGCUCAACCGCAAGCGGUCAUUGGAAACUGGGGGACUUGAGUACAGAAGAGGAAAGUGGAAUUCCACGUGUAGCGGUGAAAUGCGUAGAGAUGUGGAGGAACACCAGUGGCGAAGGCGGCUCACUGGCCCGGUACUGACGCUGAGGCGCGAAAGCGUGGGGAGCAAACAGG
Molecule: ribosomal RNA, 253 nt
Filed under: uncultured bacterium
Lineage: Bacteria
Description: partial 16S ribosomal RNA
Rfam family: Bacterial small subunit ribosomal RNA
Source: RNAcentral